This 253-nucleotide ribosomal RNA is filed under the name uncultured prokaryote. RNAcentral describes it as "partial 16S ribosomal RNA". It matches the Rfam family "Bacterial small subunit ribosomal RNA", at positions 524 to 776 of the family's 1533-position model. The record is from RNAcentral.
UACGGAGGGGGCUAGCGUUGUUCGGAAUUACUGGGCGUAAAAAGCGUGUAGGUGGUUUAGUUAGUUGAAAGUAAAAGCCCAAGGCUUAACCUUGGAACCGCUUUCAAAACUGCUAGGCUAGAGUACGGUAGAGGAUGAUGGAAUUCCUAGUGUAGAGGUGAAAUUCUUAGAUAUUAGGAGGAACACCAAGGGCGAAGGCAAUCAUCUGGGCCGUCACUGACACUGAGACGCGAAAGCGUGGGGAGCAAACAGG